UAGUGCACCACAUGCUAUGGCACAAAGAAAAUGGUUGCUGAGUGUCAAGUGUUCUGGAACUAUUUAGAGGUCAAUGGCCCUCUAAAAUACAGCACCUUUAAUCCUGGUUUGCAAGACAGAUGUGCUUUAAAACAAAGUACACUCAUAAAUCAUCUCUGUAGGGAUAGCUUAUUUUAUGCUAUGGAAAAGGGAAGGUACUAGAAUGUUGAAGAUUGCAUAACAGAGUUGUCCUUGUCCAGAAAAGCAUCAUCACAUUUCUAUCUUCUUGAACAUCAGCAUUGACAAGAGUGGCCUAUGAUGCAAUUAUGUUGGUCCCUGAGUGCCACAGGGUAAACCUCUCCAAAGCCAGUUAAAUUAAUCAAGAAGGCGAAAUGUUAAUAUGUCAAUAUGGUGACUAAGCAGGGGAAAUUCGUACCCUGAGCAUCAUCCCGUCUGCAAAACUGGGUCUGAUACAUGGAAUAGCGAUAUGAAACGGGACUUGAUUUGAGAGUAAUGUUGGAUGAUGUGUUAUAGCCUGAUCAAGUCAGCAAUUAAAUAUAAUCACAAGAGAGAGUUGUUUAAAAAUGUUUCUCUACUUCACUUUGAUGGAAUACAAUUCUACAGAACACAUUCAGAAUUAAGAGGCGUGUAUUUAGCUUAAUUAAAUAUUUAAUCACA
Molecule: long non-coding RNA, 657 nt
Organism: Leopardus geoffroyi (Geoffroy's cat)
Lineage: Eukaryota; Metazoa; Chordata; Mammalia; Carnivora; Felidae
Exons: 2
Source: RefSeq, a predicted model, not a curated record